Molecule: ribosomal RNA, 2117 nt
Filed under: Triticum aestivum (bread wheat)
Lineage: Eukaryota; Viridiplantae; Streptophyta; Magnoliopsida; Poales; Poaceae
Description: partial small subunit ribosomal RNA
Source: RNAcentral
CCUCCCUCACCCAUCUCCAGCUACCUCCCAGCUACCGACGAAUCCCAACCAUCUCACCCGCCGCCGCCGCCGCCGUCGAAGCCGAUACGAGUUCAUCCUCUACCUAGCGUCGUCAUCCCGUCUGCUUUGGGGUCUCCGCGAGCCGCCCGCGCUCGAAGCCGAGGAGGUCCUAGGGUUCGCCAUCCUGCGUGUUUGUGUUCGCUGAAAUAUGGAGAUACAGACUUCAGGGAAGCCCAUUGAUAUGCUGAUGGAGAAGGUUCUCUGUAUGAAUAUUCUUUCUUCUGAUUACUUCAAGGAGCUCUACAGGAUGAAGACCUAUCAUGAGGUCAUUGACGAGAUCUACAACCAAGUUGAUCAUGUGGAGCCUUGGAUGACUGGCAAUUGUAGGGGUCCUUCCACUGCAUUUUGUCUCCUCUACAAGUUCUUCACAAUGAAGCUUACUGUGAAACAGAUGCAUGGUUUGUUGAAGCAUCCUGACUCGCCAUACAUUAGAGCUGUAAGUUUCUUUGACAUAAGUUACUUUUGACAAAUACACGCAUCAUGGCUGUUGUGUCUACUCGUUACAUUUGUUUGUGAUUAAUGCAUGCACUAGGUUGUAUGUCAAAGUUGUACGAAAACAAAGUGUUAGUAUGUUUGCAGUGACAAACUGGUGUUAUCAACCUAUCCUAAGCAAUCAACACUUCCAUUUUUUUUAUGUUCACUUAUUACAUUUUGGUUAUAACCACUAACAGUCAUAUGACUUGCUUUCUUGCAUGGCCUUGUGUCUUGAUUUUGGUCCUAGGACACGUGGAUGAACAAAGUUUGCAAGCAGUAGUGUACCAGUCUGUGCAUUGGAUUUAUAGGAUUUUUGUAUCUUCGAUAUGUUGCAGAUCCAAAGAUCCUAUGGACAUGGUAUGAGCCCUACUUGAAGGAUGAUGAGGAAUUCUCCCCCGGAUCUAAUGGUCGCAUGACAACCAUGGGUGUAUAUGUGCGUGAUCUUAUACUUGGACAGUACUACUUUGAUAGUAUCCUUCCAAGAGUUCCUGUUCCAGUAGUUCGUCAAGUAACAACCAAUCUUGAGAAGAUGAAGCUGCCUACCAAGCUUUCUGGGGUGACUGGAGACAGUCGCCACGGAUCAGAGGACACUGCCCGUCGCCCCCCUUCUGUUAAAGCUUCUCUGUCGGUUUCUUUUGGACAGCGUGCGCCACACCGUGCUUCCACACGGGAUUCUUCCCCAGUGCGGCGAACAGUCACCCAAGAUGAUCAUCGGAGAUCAUCUUCACCAUUUCGUCGCAGUGUAAGUCGGGAGGGGCCUUACAAUGACCGUUCAAGUCACGACCGAGAAGGUAACCGUUCAAGCCGUGACCGAGAUACUGACCGUUCAAGCCGUGACCGAGAUACUGGCCGUUCAAGCCAUGACCGAGAUACUGGCCAUUCAAGCCGUCACCGAGAGCGUGAUCGUUCAAGCCAUGACAGAGAGCGUGAUUAUGACCGUGACAGCAGGGAUUGUGACUAUUACAGGUCCAGGCAUUCAGAAGAAAGAAGGGAUUACGGAAGCGAGCGUGACAAUAGUAGACAGACGCUCCAGCUCAUGUCAUAGGAGCAGAAGCCGGAGUCGUAGCAGGAGCAGGAGCCGGAGUCGGAGCAAGAAUGAGCAUCGAUCUAGUCCUUUUGGGGAUACAAGCAAAGAGAAGGCUGCUGCUGCCUCGAGCAACCUAGCUAAGCUGAAAGACCUGUACGGCGACGUAACUGAGAAGAAGGAUGACAGUGAUGCCAGGUGGCUUCACCAUGAUUCAUGUGCCGAGGAGGUUAUCAGGUUGGGAGGCCCUAGGUGGAGAUAAAUUUGAACCGCCGACUCUGUCAUCAAGGUCAUGUUACUCCACCGUUUGAUCUACCGGCUUCUGCAUUGGCAUUAGUGAGAGUUUAGUCUUUGUAAACACUUGUACUUUAUGUUGGUUCAUCAAUCCAUGUCUUUCGGACGUGCAGUCAGUCUACCAAAUUCAUCAACACAACGUUAUCAUGUUAGGCUGAAUGUUUGACGUGUACCAACUGGGUUACAUGAUGUCUGGCACUAGAGCAAAAAUGAAGAAUGCAAUGAUACAUCUCUUUCAUUUGAAGAAAGAAUCAUACAUCUCUGC